Molecule: ribosomal RNA, 501 nt
Filed under: uncultured bacterium
Lineage: Bacteria
Description: partial 16S ribosomal RNA
Rfam family: Bacterial small subunit ribosomal RNA
Source: RNAcentral
AUUGAACGCUGGCGGCAUGCCUUACACAUGCAAGUCGAACGGCAGCACGGGUGUUUGCACCUGGUGGCGGGUGGCGAACGGGUGAGUAAUAUAUCGGAACGUACCUUAUUGUGGGGGAUAACGCAGCGAAAGCUGUGCUAAUACCGCAUAAUCCCUAAGGGGGAAAGCGGGGGACCGUAAGGCCUCGCGCAAUUAGAGCCGCCGAUACCUGAUUAGCUAGUUGGUGAGGUAAAGGCUCACCAAGGCAACGAUCAGUAGCUGGUCUGAGAGGACGAUCAGCCACACUGGGACUGAGACACGGCCCAGACUCCUACGGGAGGCAGCAGUGGGGAAUUUUGGACAAUGGGGGCAACCCUGAUCCAGCAAUGCCGCGUGAGUGAAGAAGGCCUCCGGGUUGUAAAGCUCUUUUGUCAGGGAAGAAACAGCAGCUCUAACACAGUAUGCGAAUGACGGUACCUGAAGAAUAAGCACCGGCUAACUACGUGCCAGCAGCCGCCGUAA